CCUACGGGAGGCAGCAGUGAGGAAUAUUGGUCAAUGGGCUUACGCCUGACCCAGCCAAGCCGCGUGAGGGAAGACUGUCCUAUGGGUUGUAAACCUCUUUUGUCAGGGAGCAACGCCGGCGACGUGUAGCCGGACGGAGAGUACCUGCAGAAAAAGCAUCGACUAACUCCGUGCCAGCAGCCGCGGUAAUACGGAGGAGGCGAGCGUUAUCGGGAUUUAUUGGGUUUAAAGGGUGCGUAGGCGGAAUGUCAAGUCAGCGGUAAAUUCACGGGGCUCACCCUGGCUCCGCCGUUGAAACUGGCGUUCUUGAGUGGGCGAGAAGUAUGCGGAAUGCGUGGUGUAGCGGUGAAAUGCAUAGAUAUCACGCAGAACUCCGAUUGCGAAGGCAGCAUACCGGCGCCCAACUGACGCUGAGGCACGAAAGCGUGGGUAGCGAACAGGAUUAGAUACCCGUGUAGUC
This 460-nucleotide ribosomal RNA is filed under the name uncultured bacterium. RNAcentral's name for it is "partial 16S ribosomal RNA". It matches the Rfam family "Bacterial small subunit ribosomal RNA", at positions 338 to 795 of the family's 1533-position model. The record is from RNAcentral.